GAAGCACAAUGCUCAUCCCCACGAGGCACGAUGGCACGGCCGGUCGGCGGCCGAGGAGUACGAUGUGCCCCCACAAGAGGAGCCGCUGAGCUUGGCGGUGGGGGAGAGGGUGGACGAGCUGCCGCGGCGCGAGAACCGGGCGCUGCAGUGCUCGACGGGGUGGAGGCCGCCGCCCGCCCCGAGAGACGCCGGCGGGGACGAGUGGACAGUCGACAGGGAUGAUAGGAGUGGUUGGCGGAUUCCUUCUGUUCCGGUUUCAGGAGCACUGCUUCUGCUACGUUUCAGAUUUGAUAUAUGCAUACAACAUUCAUCUUAUAUGCUCCCCCGGUGAGGGCGUGAGCGGCAACGCGCACCCAACGCGGAGUGGCUGAGCUCGGCGGUGGGGGAGAAGGUGAACGUACGAACUGCUGCUGCUGCUGCGGCUGAGAGGGAAUGAAUGAAUUAAUUGGGGCAGAGGUGGCAGCACAAACGCACACUAGUGCAUCCAAUGUUAUGGGUCAAGAAAGGAGUGGGUUGUAAUGAAUGAAGGUGGAGUAGGAUCUCGUCCUCUGUUGUCCGGCUUAUGAUUGUAGGAGUGUCCUUUGAUUCCCCAUGUCUACUCCAUUCCACCUGCAUGUGAAUCAUGAUUGUAGAA
Molecule: long non-coding RNA, 634 nt
Organism: Triticum aestivum (bread wheat)
Lineage: Eukaryota; Viridiplantae; Streptophyta; Magnoliopsida; Poales; Poaceae
Exons: 2
Source: RefSeq, a predicted model, not a curated record